This 373-nucleotide ribosomal RNA is filed under the name uncultured organism. RNAcentral's name for it is "partial 16S ribosomal RNA". It matches the Rfam family "Bacterial small subunit ribosomal RNA", at positions 527 to 896 of the family's 1533-position model. The record is from RNAcentral.
GUAGGUGGCAAGCGUUGUCCGGCAUUAUUGGGCGUAAAGCGCGCGCAGGCGGUUCUUUAAGUCUGAUGUGAAAGCCCACGGCUCAACCGUGGAGGGUCAUUGGAAACUGGAGAACUUGAGUACAGAAGAGGAAAGCGGAAUUCCACGUGUAGCGGUGAAAUGCGUAGAGAUGUGGAGGAACACCAGUGGCGAAGGCGGCUUUCUGGUCUGUAACUGACGCUGAGGCGCGAAAGCGUGGGGGAGCAAACAGGAUUAGAUACCCGUGGUAGUCCACGCCGUAAACGAUGAGUGCUAAGUGGUUAGGGGGUUUCCGCCCCUUAGUGCUGCAGCUAACGCAUUAAGCACUCCGCCUGGGAGUACGGCCGCAAGGCUG